AUUGAACGCUGGCGGCAGGCCUAACACAUGCAAGUCGAGCGAGCGGCGGACGGGUGAGUAAUGUCUGGGAAACUGCCUGAUGGAGGGGGAUAACUACUGGAAACGGUAGCUAAUACCGCAUACCAUCAGAUGUGCCCAGAUGGGAUUAGCUAGUAGGUGGGGUAACGGCUCACCUAGGCGACGAUCCCUAGCUGGUCUGAGAGGAUGCCCAGGCAAACUGGAACAGAGACGCGGUGCCGACUCCUACGGGAGGCAGCAGUGGAGAAUAUUGAACAAUGGGCGAAAGCCUGAUGCGGCCAUGCCGCGUGUGUGAAGAAGGCCUGCGGGUUGUAGAGCACUUUCAGCGGGGGGGCAUUACCCGCAGAAGAAGCACCGGCUAACUCCGUGCCAGCAGCCGCGGUAAUUC
Molecule: ribosomal RNA, 406 nt
Filed under: uncultured bacterium
Lineage: Bacteria
Description: partial 16S ribosomal RNA
Rfam family: Bacterial small subunit ribosomal RNA
Source: RNAcentral